This 1177-nucleotide ribosomal RNA is filed under the name Niphargus sp. 2 SB-2020. RNAcentral's name for it is "partial large subunit ribosomal RNA". It matches the Rfam family "Eukaryotic large subunit ribosomal RNA", at positions 1357 to 2198 of the family's 3401-position model. Lineage: Eukaryota; Metazoa; Arthropoda; Malacostraca; Amphipoda; Niphargidae. The record is from RNAcentral.
AAGGCUUCAGUACGACCCAGUCAGAACUAUAAGUCUCAAAGCCCCGACGAGUAGGGUGGCGUGCCGGUGCGCGUUGAAGGCCAAGACGUGAGUCAGGCUGGAGCCGCCGGUAGUGCAGAUCUUGGUGGUAGUAGCAAGUACUCUGGUGAACCAACCUGGAGCUGUGAGGUCUGGAUCAGGGUUCCAUGUCAACAGUGAUUGAACAUGGGUGAGUCGAUCCUAAGCCAACUGUGAAAGCAGUGACAUCCCGACAAUGGAGCAGUACGUGCGCCGCACUUACACCCCCAAACCAAAGCUCUCGAGUAUCUCGUCUGGUUACGCUCAUAAGCGUUGAGAGUGGGUGAGCGUGAGAUUGCACUCGCAUGGCUCCUGCGUCUGGUUCUAUGUCUGGCGAAAGGGAAUGGGGACUUUGUUCCUUGACCGGUCCCGGCACCCUCGAUUGGCUCUGCCAAUUAAUGGUCCAUGCAAAUGGAACCAGGCCCACAGCCGCCGGCAGUCGCCCGAGGAAGAGUUUUCUUUUCUGCUUAACGCACGAGGUCAUCCCUGGAAACAGUUCGGCUGGCGAAAGGGUGCCCCGUUGCGGCAGAGCGCCACGACUGUCGUGCGCGUCUCGGUGUUCCUGCCGGUCCGUGAAGACGUGGUCGAGGGGAUUGCUAUCUUGUAUCAACGAAACGCCCGACAAGUUCGGGACGGACCGUACCCUAUAUCCGCAUCUGGUCUCCAAGGUUCGUAGCCUCUGCAGAGUCAGACACAUGUAGGUAAGGGAAGUCGGCAAACUCGAUCCGUAACUUCGGGAAAAGGAUUGGCUCUGAGGGCCGAGCUGGGCCGGGCCUUGCCUGCAAAGCAGUACCUAUAGUGACCGGAGUUUCAGGAGUGCGAGGGGCUCUAGUAGCUGCUUGCGCGUGUGUGUGCGUUCGCGCGCGUGCGCGCGUGUGGGCACGAACGAGUCCACCGCUCCGCUCCAACCACGAACGGCUGUGACGGCAAGGGCUCUGGGCGGGAGCGAUCAAUCCGUUGGCCUCCAGCUCGUCUGGCUGGCGGCGGUGCUCCGUCUGACCCAUACGGCUCCAGCGGCUAGCGGCUAACUCAGAACUGUCAUGGACCAAGGGAAUCCGACUGUCUAAUUAAAACAAAGCGUCGUGACGGCCCCUGUUGGGUGUUGACGCGACGUGAUUUC